This 1014-nucleotide small RNA is filed under the name Pongo abelii (Sumatran orangutan). RNAcentral's name for it is "processed transcript". Lineage: Eukaryota; Metazoa; Chordata; Mammalia; Primates; Hominidae. The record is from RNAcentral.
UUAAACCCAAUAAGGCUGGAUCUUUCUAUUUUAAACCUUGACUUGACGUCCCCCUUUCCCUAUCCAAACCAUAAAUCGACUCUGUCGAGAAAAAGGCUCCUAACUGAGGAAGCGGAAAAGACAGACCCCGAUCCUGCAGUUAAAACCUUCUUUAAGCUGGACCGUCACGACGGCACCAGCAACGGGACGGCACGGUUGCCCCAGCUGGGCACUCCUGAACCCCCUGCACGCCCAGCCGCAGCCGCAGCACCCAGGCUGGCCCGGCCAGAGGCAGAGCCAGGAGUCUGGGCUUCUGCACACGCACCGGGGGCUGCCUCACCAGCUGUCGGGCCUGGAUCCUCGCAGGGACUACAGGCGGCACGAGGACCUCCUGCACGGCCCACACGCGCUCAGCUCAGGACUCGGAGACCUCUCGAUCCACUCCUUACCUCACGCCAUCGAGGAGGUCCCGCAUGUAGAAGACCCGGGUAUUAACAUCCCAGAUCAAACUGUAAUUAAGAAAGGCCCCGUGUCCCUGUCCAAGUCCAACAGCAAUGCCGUCUCCGCCAUCCCUAUUAACAAGGACAACCUCUUCGGCGGCGUAGUGAACCCCAACGAAGUCUUCUGUUCAGUUCCGGGUCGCCUCUCGCUCCUCAGCUCCACCUCGAAGUACAAGGUCACGGUGGCGGAAGUGCAGCGGCGGCUCUCACCACCCGAGUGUCUCAACGCGUCGCUGCUGGGCGGAGUGCUCCGAAGGGCGAAGUCUAAAAAUGGAGGAAGAUCUUUAAGAGAAAAACUGGACAAAAUAGGAUUAAAUCUGCCUGCAGGGAGACGUAAAGCUGCCAACGUUACCCUGCUCACAUCACUAGUAGAGGGAGAAGCUGUCCACCUGGCCAGGGACUUUGGGUACGUGUGCGAAACCGAAUUUCCUGCCAAAGCAGUAGCUGAAUUUCUCAACCGACAACAUUCCGAUCCCAAUGAGCAAGUGACAAGAAAAAACAUGCUCCUGGCUACAAAACAGAUAUGCAAAGAGUU